UCGCGGCUUAUCACCGGCAGUCCCCUUAGAGUGCCCAACUGAAUGAUGGCAACUAAGGGCGAGGGUUGCGCUCGUUGCGGGACUUAACCCAACAUUUCACAACACGAGCUGACGACAGCCAUGCACCACCUGUGCAUCACCCUCGAAGGCGACCACUUUUCGGUGGCUUGCAGAUGCAUGUCAAGCCCUGGUAAGGUUCUUCGCGUUGCAUCGAAUUGAACCACAUGCUCCACCGCUUGUGCGGGCCCCCGUCAAUUCCUUUGAGUUUCAGCCUCGCGACCGUACUCCCCAGGCGGUGCACUUAUCGCGUUAACUUCGGCACGAACCGAAAACCGGCUCACACCAAGUGCACAUAGUUUACGGCUAGGACUAC
Molecule: unclassified non-coding RNA, 373 nt
Filed under: uncultured bacterium
Lineage: Bacteria
Description: contains 16S-23S intergenic spacer region
Source: RNAcentral